CUUUUCACUUUUUUUAAAGUUUCAGAACAAAGCACAACGAGGAGGUGACUGCAACAGUGGUGCAAGCAGUGAAGGACGUGGAACCAAAUUGGAGUUACCAUCAAGUUCGAAGAGCCUGUAAUCGAGCUUUUGAAAAUAUCAAGUCCAGAGAGAGAUGGAAGGAAAGACGACGUCAAGAGGAGGAAACUCCUAACUAGUAGGCGUGAUCGGCUCUUCAGAAAGCGGGUGAAAAUUGCAGAGAAGAUUCUAAACCAAGAGGACCUGUUGUACAUUCAGGGCUCUAACUCAAAUUUUGUGAGUGAUGAGGAAAGUGACGAGGAAAAAACUGUAUUUAAUUUUUCCUCACCAAAGUGGCGCUCCACAAGGCUAACCAGACUGAUGGCACAUUGCCAAAAAGCGUUGGACGAAAACAGAAAAAGGGUAUAGAGCCAAGGUCA
Molecule: long non-coding RNA, 437 nt
Organism: Oryzias melastigma (Indian medaka)
Lineage: Eukaryota; Metazoa; Chordata; Actinopteri; Beloniformes; Adrianichthyidae
Exons: 3
Source: RefSeq, a predicted model, not a curated record